This 468-nucleotide ribosomal RNA is filed under the name uncultured bacterium. RNAcentral's name for it is "partial 16S ribosomal RNA". It matches the Rfam family "Bacterial small subunit ribosomal RNA", at positions 28 to 507 of the family's 1533-position model. The record is from RNAcentral.
GACGAACGCUGGCGGCGUGCUUAACACAUGCAAGUCGAACGGAAAGGCCCUGCUUUUGUGGGGUGCUCGAGUGGCGAACGGGUGAGUAACACGUGAGUAACCUGCCCUUGACUUUGGGAUAACUUCAGGAAACUGGGGCUAAUACCGGAUAGGAGCUCCUGCUGCAUGGUGGGGGUUGGAAAGUUUCGGCGGUUGGGGAUGGACUCGCGGCUUAUCAGCUUGUUGGUGGGGUAGUGGCUUACCAAGGCUUUGACGGGUAGCCGGCCUGAGAGGGUGACCGGCCACAUUGGGACUGAGAUACGGCCCAGACUCCUACGGGAGGCAGAAGUGGGGAACAUUGCACAAUGGGCGGAAGCCUGAUGCAGCAACGCCGCGUGCGGGAUGACGGCCUUCGGGUUGUAAACCGCUUUCGCCUGUGACGAAGCGUGAGUGACGGUAAUGGGUAAAGAAGCACCGGCUAACUACGUG